UACGGGGGGGGCAAGCGUUGUUCGGAAUUACUGGGCGUAAAGGGCGCGUAGGCGGCCCUCUAAGUCGGACGUGAAAUCCCUCGGCUCAACCGGGGAACUGCGUCCGAUACUGGAGGGCUUGGAUCCGGGAGAGGGAUGCGGAAUUCCAGGUGUAGCGGUGAAAUGCGUAGAUAUCUGGAGGAACACCGGUGGCGAAGGCGGCAUCCUGGACCGGCAUCGACGCUGAGGCGCGAAAGCCAGGGGAGCAAACGGGAUUAGAUACCCCGGUAGUCCUGGCCCUAAACGAUGAAUGCUUGGUGUGGCGGGUAUCGAUCCCUGCCGUGCCGGAGCUAACGCGUUAAGCAUUCCGCCUGGGGAGUACGGUCGCAAGGCUGAA
RNAcentral lists this ribosomal RNA (376 nucleotides) under uncultured bacterium. RNAcentral describes it as "bacterial SSU rRNA". It matches the Rfam family "Bacterial small subunit ribosomal RNA", at positions 524 to 898 of the family's 1533-position model. The record is from RNAcentral.